AUCUGCCUGGCCCCGGGGACCUCCUUAACUUGGGCUGGAAAGGGCGGAAGCGGCCCCGGGGCAGGCUGGGAGAUGUAGUUCCUGACUCUCCCCGGAGCGGAAGUGACGUCGGGGGGGAGGAAGAGCCGAGUUCUGCCUGGCUCGCGCGGGGCCGUUGGAGCCUCUCCCGGGGCCGGAGAAGGAUGUGUGACUGAGAUCAGGGCACUUAUCAUACUAAGUGUGUCCCUGCUCUGACAGCUGCUGCAGAGACCCCAACUGAGAUCUGGGCCCUGCUUUGCCAGGCACU
Molecule: long non-coding RNA, 286 nt
Organism: Gopherus evgoodei (Goodes thornscrub tortoise)
Lineage: Eukaryota; Metazoa; Chordata; Testudines; Testudinidae
Exons: 2
Source: RefSeq, a predicted model, not a curated record